UUGACUAGUGGGGGGGGAAAACUUCCCUUUCCUUCGGGACUACUUACAAGGUGCUGCAUGGUUGUCGUCAGCUCGUGCCGUGAGGUGUCGGGUUAAGUCCCAUAACGAGCGCAACCCCUAUUGUUAGUUGCCAGCAAGUAAAGUUGGGGACUCUAGCGAGACUGCCGGUGUAAACCGUGAGGAAGUGGGGAUGACGUCAAAUCAGCACGGCCCUUAUAUCCAGGGCUACACACGUGUUACAAUGGUCGGUACAAAGAGCAGCCACUUGGUGACAAGGCGCUAAUCUCAAAAGCCGAUCUCAGUUCGGAUCGAAGUCUGCAACCCGACUUCGUGAAGUUGGAUUCGCUAGUAAUCGCGCAUCAGCCAUGGCGCGGUGAAUACGUUCCCGGGCCUU
This 394-nucleotide ribosomal RNA is filed under the name uncultured Marinilabiliaceae bacterium. RNAcentral's name for it is "bacterial SSU rRNA". It matches the Rfam family "Bacterial small subunit ribosomal RNA", at positions 981 to 1382 of the family's 1533-position model. Lineage: Bacteria; Pseudomonadati; Bacteroidota; Bacteroidia; Marinilabiliales; Marinilabiliaceae. The record is from RNAcentral.